Molecule: ribosomal RNA, 443 nt
Filed under: uncultured bacterium
Lineage: Bacteria
Description: partial 16S ribosomal RNA
Rfam family: Bacterial small subunit ribosomal RNA
Source: RNAcentral
CCUACGGGUGGCAGCAGUGGGGAAUAUUGGUCAAUGGGCGAAAGCCUGACCCAGCAACGCCGCGUGAAGGAUGACGGCCCUCGGGUUUUAAACUUCUUUUAACAGGGGCGUAGAAAGUGACGGUACCGGUUGAAUGAGCCACGGCUAACUACGUGCCAGCAGCCGCGGUAAUACGGAGGUUGCAAGCGUUAUGCGGAUUUACUGGGUGUAAAGGGCGUGUAGGCGGGAGAGCAAGUCAGACGUGAAAUUACAGGGCUCAACCCUGGAAUUGCGUUUGAAACUGUUAUUCUUGAGUGAUGGAGAGGCAGGCGGAAUUCGGUGUGUAGCGGUGAAAUGCGUAGAUAUCAGGAGGAACACCAGUGGCGAAGGCGGCUCGCUGGACAUUAACUGACGCUGAGGCGCGAAAGUGUGGGGAGCAAACAGGAUUAGAUACCCGUGUAGUC